RNAcentral lists this ribosomal RNA (538 nucleotides) under uncultured beta proteobacterium. RNAcentral's name for it is "partial 16S ribosomal RNA". It matches the Rfam family "Bacterial small subunit ribosomal RNA", at positions 337 to 873 of the family's 1533-position model. Lineage: Bacteria; Pseudomonadati; Pseudomonadota; Betaproteobacteria. The record is from RNAcentral.
UCUUACGGGAGGCAGCAGUGGGGAAUUUUGGACAAUGGGCGCAAGCGUGAUCCUGCCCUACGGGGUAUAAGAAGAAGGCCUUCGGGUUGUAAAACAAUUUAAGUCGGGAGGAAGGGAUUUUUUUUUAUAGCAGCAAUUUUUGACGUUACCCACAGAAGAAGCCCCGGCUAACUCCGUGCCAGCAGCCGCGGUAAUACGGAGGGGGCAAGCGUUAUUUGGAAUUACUGGGCGUAAAGCGCACGCAGGCGGCUUUUUAAUUCGGAUGUGAAAGCCCCGGGCUCAACCUGGGAAUUGCAUUUGAAACUGGCAAGUUAGAGUUUGUGAGAGGGGGGUAGAAUUCCAAGUGUAGCGGUGAAAUUCGUAGAAUUUUGGAGGAAUCCCAGUGGGGAAGGCGGCCCCCUGGCACAAUAUUGACGUUCAGGUGCGAAAGCGGUGGGGAGCAAACAGGAUUAGAUACCCUGGUUGUCCACCCCGAAACGAUGUAACUAGUUGUUCGAGGUCUUGAAUCUAGUAGCGCAGUAACGCCUAAGUGACUGCC